This 341-nucleotide ribosomal RNA is filed under the name Haptolina ericina. Its description in RNAcentral is "partial Eukaryotic large subunit ribosomal RNA". It matches the Rfam family "Eukaryotic large subunit ribosomal RNA", at positions 2979 to 3328 of the family's 3401-position model. The record is from RNAcentral. Lineage: Eukaryota; Haptophyta; Prymnesiales; Prymnesiaceae.
CAGGUUAGUUUUACCCUACUGAUGGAGUGUUAUCGUAAUAGUAAUUGAGCGUAGUACGAGAGGAACUGCUCAUUCAGAUAAUUGGUAUUUGCGCCUGUCCGAUCGGGCAAUGGCGCGAAGCUAUCAUCUGCUAGAUUAUGGCUGAACGCCUCUAAGUCAGAAUCUGUGCUAGAAACGAUGAUUUAUGUCCCGCACAUAAUAGAUGUGUUACAAUAGAGCUUGCUCGUGAACCAUACCAGACGGUCUUCUUACUGCGGCGGAAAUGCCUGCUUUAAGUUCCGUGAAUCAAAAUUAUAAUAUGCGCGGGGGUGAAUCCUUUGCAGACGACUUAAAUACGCGAC